RNAcentral lists this non-coding RNA (763 nucleotides) under Scolytinae sp. BMNH 1040331. The record is from RNAcentral. Lineage: Eukaryota; Metazoa; Arthropoda; Insecta; Coleoptera; Curculionidae.
AAUUGAGUUGUUUGAACUAAGGUUUUUAUAGUUUAUUCAUUUUAAAUGUAAAUAUUAUUUUGAUGAAAUUUUUAUUUUGAUAAUAAAAAUGAAAAAUUUUUUAUGCAAUAAAUAAAUUUAUAUAUUUAAUAAUUUAAGAUUUAGUGAAAUAAUAAAGUAUAGACUAAUAUUGUGCCAGCAGUAGCGGUUAUACAGGUUAUGCAAUAAAAAUAUAUUAAGUAUAGUUAAUAUUUAAUUAAAGAUUUUAAUAGAAAUUUUAUAAGGUGAAAUUUUAAAUUUUUUUAAUAUUUUGGUAUGAAGCUAGAAAAUUUUGAUUAAAACUAGGAUUAGAUACCCUAUUAUAAAAUAGUAAAUAUUAUUCUUUUAUUAUUAUAAGUUUAAUUUCUUUAAAAUAAAAAAAAUUGGCGGUAUUUUAUCUAUUCAGAGGAAUCUGUUCUAUAAAUGAUAGUCCACGUUUAAUUUGUCUUUUUUUUAUUAGUUUGCAUAUCGCUGUGGUUGAGUAUCUUUUUAAAGAAAUAUUCAGCAUAUGAAUAUAUUUUAUUUCAGGUCAAGAUGUAGCUUAUAAAAAAGUAGUAAUGGAUUACUGUUAUUUGAAUAUUGGAUUAAAUUUUUAAAAAUUUUAUGAAAGUGGAUUUGAAUGUAAUUUUUGAAAUAUAUAAAAAAUGAUAUUGUUCUGAAAUAUGUACAUAUUGCCCGUCGCUUUCAAAUAAGUUGAAAUAAGUCGUAACAAAGUAGGUGUACUGGAAAGUGUCCCUAGAAACAA